Long non-coding RNA from Eleginops maclovinus (Patagonian blennie), 928 nucleotides. RefSeq lists it as uncharacterized. The transcript is spliced from 3 exons. The record is from RefSeq and is a predicted model, not a curated record. Lineage: Eukaryota; Metazoa; Chordata; Actinopteri; Perciformes; Eleginopidae.
UCAAGCACGGGCGGCACGUGUUAGAGGAGCUCUGCAACCCUAGCUCCAAAUUUACCUUUUUUACCUUUACCUGCAGACAGAAACGAAGUGGUAAAGCCAAGAAGGGGCAAAAUGUUUUGCAAUAAGGACGUGCAUAACGAGGCUACAAAGAAGAAAAAGUCAAGUGUAGGCAAAAUGUUUUGCAAUAAGGACGUGCAUAACGAGGCUACAAAGAAGAAAAAGUCAAGUGUAGGCAAAAUGUUUUGCAAUAAGGACGUGCAUAACGAGGCUACAAAGAAGAAAAAGUCAAGUGUAGGCAAAAUGUCUUGCAAAAAGGACUUAAACAUUGAGACGACAAAGCAUAAAAAGUCAAGUGUAGGCAAAAUAUCUUGCAAAAAGGACUUAAAUAACAAGGCUAAAAAGAAUAGAAAGUCAAGUGCAGUCAAAUCUGGAAGGCGCAACUCCAAACAAGGUGGUGUCAAAGGGAAAACUUGCGUUGGUAGAAGAGCCAGGGACAGCGGGAGUAUGGACGAGGUGAAGUGUGCAUUGUUUGAUCCGUCUCCGGCUUCAGGAUCACGGCCCUCCAUACACGGCGAAAUGUCAAAUGUUAACAACAUUAUGCAUCCAAGCCCUGCCAGACUUGCUGGUUCAGAUGGGUCUUUGGGAACGGAUGCCAAAGCCUCCGGUUGCUGCCCCUGCGGUGACUCUAAAUAUGUUUCCCUUCAGCGGAUAACUUCAGGUGAAUGCGCACAAAAACGGCAGUGCAGGUCUCCCGUGUAUGGCCGAGAUGUUGAGGAGGAUCCUGGCCCUGGAUGCAACCUAGUAGAACCGAAAAUCCACAAAAGACUGAAGCUAGGGGAUGGUGUUGAAGGUGGGACGUUGCCAUUGUACUCCUUGUACAAAGAUCCGGCAGAAACAGAGUCUGUAGAUAAGGAGAUGUCUGGUGUAG